Small nuclear RNA from Copidosoma floridanum, 165 nucleotides. The record is from RefSeq and is a predicted model, not a curated record. NCBI's taxonomy places the organism in Eukaryota, Metazoa, Arthropoda, Insecta, Hymenoptera, Encyrtidae.
GUACUUACCUGGCGUAGAGAUAACCGUGAUCAACAAGGCGGUUUCUCCAGGGAAAGGCCUGUCCAUUGCACUUCGGACGGGUUGACCCUUGUGAAUAUCCUUAAUGUGGAUAUCUCGGACGUAUUAUUUUUGGUAGCCAAAUAUAAAAAUUCUAGAUAUCUUUAA